Molecule: ribosomal RNA, 445 nt
Filed under: uncultured bacterium
Lineage: Bacteria
Description: bacterial SSU rRNA
Rfam family: Bacterial small subunit ribosomal RNA
Source: RNAcentral
GAAUCUUGCGCAAUGGCCGAAAGGCUGACGCAGCGACGCCGCGUGCGGGAGGAAGCCCUUCGGGGUGUAAACCGCUGUCACCGGGGACGAAUGGUGUGAGGGCAAACAGUCUUCACGCGUGACGGUACCCGGGGAGGAAGCGCCGGCUAACUCCGUGCCAGCAGCCGCGGUAAGACGGAGGGCGCGAGCGUUGUUCGGAAUUACUGGGCGUAAAGCGCGCGCAGGCGGACUCGUGCGUCGGGAGUGAAAGCCCGGGGCUCAACCCCGGUGUUUACUCUCGAUACGGCGGGUCUAGGGACCGGUAGAGGCCGGUGGAAUUCCCGGUGUAGCGGUGGAAUGCGUAGAGAUCGGGAAGAACACCAGUGGCGAAGGCGGCCGGCUGGGCCGGAGAGCCCUCUUACGGGAGGGUGUCCGACGCUCAUGCGCGAAAGCGUGGGGAGCAAAC